CUGAGCUGCGGAGAGGAAGGGGAAGCAGGUGGGACUGGUCCUGCGAGGACCCUGAAAACUUCUCAGGUUUCCCCGCCUCUAAAAGGGCAGGGAAAGAAUCAGGAAUGAUGCAGCCUCAAGCAGGAGUUGAAAUUCCAUGCCCUUGGGCCACUGGUCUGUGUUGCGGAGGACUGGAAGGCAGUGACCAGCAGGCUUUUAGAGAAAUGGAGACGCCCCUGUGAAUUGCGGACCAGGCCAUGAUCCCAGGAUGUGAAUUCUCUCCAGCAGAGCAGAUCCUGCAUCUUUGGCAUUGAUGAAAGGUGUUCUCCUUUUGACCAAAGAAAGCUGGAAGGUGGGCAAUUAGCAAGAUCCUUCUGGUAUUCUUGAUCUUUGUUACAAGCUGAAAGAGCAUUUUUAAUUAGACCAAAUUAUCUAGUUUGGCUGUCCGUGGACAUCAAAGCCCCAGCUGAAAUGUCUGUUUUAUUUUGUGGGUGUAGACAUGGCUAUGUGCUGUGAUUUUUAAGGUGUUAAACACUGCCUAUGGGCAUAUUUUAUGGAGAAAUAAACACACA
This is a long non-coding RNA of Camelus dromedarius (Arabian camel), 551 nucleotides long. RefSeq lists it as uncharacterized. Lineage: Eukaryota; Metazoa; Chordata; Mammalia; Artiodactyla; Camelidae. The transcript has 3 exons. The record is from RefSeq and is a predicted model, not a curated record.